Electrophorus electricus (electric eel) is the source of this 370-nucleotide long non-coding RNA. RefSeq lists it as uncharacterized. Lineage: Eukaryota; Metazoa; Chordata; Actinopteri; Gymnotiformes; Gymnotidae. The record is from RefSeq and is a predicted model, not a curated record.
GCGAGUUUGGUUAUUUAUGUUCAUUUGAAAACAGCCACAGCGUCUGGGCUUUACUUUAAUGCCGGGUACGUCGCCACUGACUAGCGCAAUGCUUCAGGGGACGGCGGUAGUAUCCAGGCAACGGUUUGUUUUUGCUCCGAGCCGCGUGCACGAGGGCAAAGAAGGAGAUUGACAUUGAGCCCACAGACAUGGUAGAAAGGAUCAAGGAAACGGAAGAAGAAAAAGGAAGGGGAUGUCACCUCAACAGCAAAGGCUAAUCUACAGUCGUGGCCAAGUGCUUUGAGACUAGUGCAAAUUUUGGUUUUCACAGUUUGCUGCUUCGGUUUUUUUUGGUGGCAAUUUGCAUUAACUCUAGAUUGUGAAGAGUGAU